RNAcentral lists this small RNA (1207 nucleotides) under Pongo abelii (Sumatran orangutan). RNAcentral's name for it is "retained intron". Lineage: Eukaryota; Metazoa; Chordata; Mammalia; Primates; Hominidae. The record is from RNAcentral.
GGGGCUCCCAGCCAGGGUAAGGAUCUUUCUUGGAGGGUCUGGGGUUUGGUGUGGGAUCAGAUGACUGCUUACAGGUAAGGUGCUCAGGGUCAUGGGGCAGUUACGCAGCAAAAUCAGGGGUUACAAUCAGCAGAGACAGAAACUUUCCCAGGAAGCUCCCUUUUUUCCCCCUCCCAGGCCAAAAACUCCUGGGGGGGCUGAGCCAAGUCACUGGUGGGCCCACCUCUGGCCCAGCUGGCACCCAGGCCUCAGGUAAGUGUGCCCUCCCCACCCAGAAUAUCACCAAGGAGCAGGUACCACUUGUGGUGGAGGAGUACCUGGACAAUGUCAAUGAGCAUGACUGGAAGAUGCUACGAAACCGUAUGAUGGACAUAGUUCAAGAUGCCACUUUCGUGUAUGCCACGCUGCAGACUGCUCACUACCACCGAGAAACCCCAAUGAUGGGAAUCUGCCUUGCUGGCCACGCUAUGACAAGGAUGAAAAGUACCUGCAGCUGGAUUUUACCACGAGAGUGGGCAUGAAGCUCAAGGAGAAGAAGAUGGCUUUUUGGAUGAGUCUGUACCAGUCUCAAAGACCUGAGAAGCAGAGGCAAUUCUAAGGGUGCCUACGCAGGAAGGAGCCAAAGAGGGGUUUGCCCCACCACCCAGGCCCUAGGGAGACUAGCCAUGGACAUACCUGGGGACAAGGGUUCUACCCACCCCAAUUUAGAACUGCAGGAGCUCCCUGCUGCCUCCCAGCCAAAGCUAGAGCUUUUGCCUGUUGUAUGGCACCUGCACCGCCCUCUCCAGCCUGACAUCCCAUGAUGCCCCACUACUUCACUGUUGACAUCCAGUUAGGCCAGGCCCUGUCAACACCACACUGUGCCCAGCUCUCCAGCCUCAGGACAACCUCUUUUUUUCCCUUCUUCAAAUCCUCCCACCCUUCAAUGUCUCCUUGUGGCUCCUUCUUAUGGGAGGUCGACCCAGACUGCCACUGUCACUGCACCCAGCUUGGCAUUUACCAUCCAUCCUGCUCAACCUUGUGCCUGUCUGUUCACGUUGGUCUGGAGGCCUAGGGCAGGUUGUGACAUGGAGCAAACUUUUGGUAGUUUGGGAUCUUUUCUCCCACCCACACUUAUCGCCCCCAGGGCCACUCCAAAGUCUAUACACAGGGGUAGUCUCUUCAAUAAAGAAGUGUUGAUUAGACCUGAAUUUCUCCACCUAUAAAA